CUCGCAGGGGAAGCUGGGUGUGCCGGGGCUUCCUGGGUAUCCAGGACGGCAAGGCUCAAAGGGAUCUCAGGGCUUCCCGGGCUUUCCCGGAGCCAAUGGCGAGAAGGGAUCUCGGGGUGUAUCCGGGAAGCUGGGCCCCCGGGGCGAGCGCGGCCCCUCGGUGA
Pelodiscus sinensis (Chinese soft-shelled turtle) is the source of this 164-nucleotide non-coding RNA. The record is from RefSeq and is a predicted model, not a curated record. Lineage: Eukaryota; Metazoa; Chordata; Testudines; Trionychidae.